AAUCUUCCGCAAUGGACGAAAGUCUGACGGAGCAACGCCGCGUGUGUGAUGAAGGUUUUCGGAUCGUGAAACUUUGUUGUUAGGGAAGAACAAGUAUCGGAGUCACUUACGGUACCUAGCAGGCACCGGACGAGAAAGCCACGGCUAACUAUGUGCCAUAUGCCGCGGUAACACGUAGGUGGCAAGCGUUGUCCGGAUUUAUUGGGAGUAAAGCGCGCGCAGGCGGUCUUUUAAGUCUGAUGUGAAAUCUUACAGCUUAACUGUAAGCGGUCAUUGGAAAAUGGGAGACUUGAGUGCAGAAGAGGAGAGUAGAAUUCCAUGUGUAGCGGUGAAAUGCGUAGAGAUAUGGAGGAACACCAGUGGCGAAGGCGACUCUCUGGUCUGUAACUGACGCUGAGGCGCGAAAGCGUGGGGAUCAAACA
Molecule: ribosomal RNA, 422 nt
Filed under: uncultured bacterium
Lineage: Bacteria
Description: partial 16S ribosomal RNA
Rfam family: Bacterial small subunit ribosomal RNA
Source: RNAcentral